RNAcentral lists this unclassified non-coding RNA (337 nucleotides) under soil metagenome. RNAcentral describes it as "partial contains 5.8S ribosomal RNA, internal transcribed spacer 2, and large subunit ribosomal RNA". The stretch from base 1 to 120 matches the Rfam family "5.8S ribosomal RNA", at positions 35 to 154 of the family's 154-position model. The record is from RNAcentral.
GAUGAAGAACGCAGCGAAAUGCGUUAAGUAGUGUGAAUUGCAGAAUUCAGUGAAUCAUCGAAUCUUUGAACGCACAUUGCGCCCCUUGGUAUUCCAUGGGGCAUGCCUGUUCGAGCGUCAUUUGUACCUUCAAGCUCUGCUUGGUGUUGGGUGUUUGUCUCGCCUCUGCGUGUAGACUCGCCUCAAAACAAUUGGCAGCCGGCGUAUUGAUUUCGGAGCGCAGUACAUCUCGCGCUUUGCACUCAUAACGACGACGUCCAAAAGUACAUUUUUACACUCUUGACCUCGGAUCAGGUAGGGAUACCCGCUGAACUUAAGCAUAUCAAUAAGCGGAGGA